This 402-nucleotide ribosomal RNA is filed under the name uncultured bacterium. RNAcentral's name for it is "bacterial SSU rRNA". It matches the Rfam family "Bacterial small subunit ribosomal RNA", at positions 356 to 775 of the family's 1533-position model. The record is from RNAcentral.
GGGGAAUAUUGGACAAUGGGCGCAAGCCUGAUCCAGCCAUGCCGCGUGAGUGAUGAAGGCCUUAGGGUUGUAAAGCUCUUUCGCCGAGGACGAUAAUGACGGUACUCGGAUAAGAAGCCCCGGCUAACUUCGUGCCAGCAGCCGCGGUAAUACGAAGGGGGCUAGCGUUGUUCGGAAUUACUGGGCGUAAAGCGUAUGCAGGCGGAUCUUUAAGUCAGGGGUGAAAUCCCGAGGCUCAACCUCGGAACUGCCUUUGAUACUGGAGAUCUUGAGUCCGGGAGAGGUUAGUGGAACUGCGAGUGUAGAGGUGAAAUUCGUAGAUAUUCGCAAGAACACCAGUGGCGAAGGCGGCUAACUGGCCCGGUACUGACGCUGAGAUACGAAAGCGUGGGGAGCAAACAG